RNAcentral lists this ribosomal RNA (2013 nucleotides) under human oral metagenome. RNAcentral's name for it is "bacterial LSU rRNA". It matches the Rfam family "Bacterial large subunit ribosomal RNA", at positions 276 to 2465 of the family's 2925-position model. The record is from RNAcentral.
GUUGUAUUAUGCAAUGUUGGGGUUGUAGGACUACGUUGUUGUACUUGAAUUGCGAGAAGAAUAUUCUGGAAAGUUUAGCCAUAGCAGGUGAAAGCCCUUUAUUCGAAGCAUGCCAAGACAUAGUAGUAUCCUGAGUAGCGCGGGACACGUGUAAUCCUGUGUGAAUCUGCCGGGCCCAUCCGGUAAGGCUAAAUACUCCCAUGAGACCGAUAGCGUACCAGUACCGUGAGGGAAAGGUGAAAAGAACUUCGAUAAGAAGAGUGAAAUAGAUCCUGAACCCAUGCGCCUACAAGCGGUCGGAGCAUUAUAUGAUGUGACGGCGUGCCUUUUGCAUAAUGAACCUACGAGUUACCGUCACUGGCAAGGUUAAUCCUCUUAAGUGGAGCAACCGCAGUGAAAGCGAGCCUUAACAGGGCGUUAAGUCAGUGGUGGUAGACGCGAAACCAAGUGAUCUACACUUGUCCAGGAUGAAGUUCCGGUAACACGGAAUGGAGGUCCGAACCAAUAAGCGUUGAAAAGCUUCUGGAUGAGGUGAGUGUAGGAGUGAAAGGCCAAUCAAACUUGGAGAUAGCUCGUACUCCCCGAAAGGCAUUUAGGUGCCGCGUACGAUGAUUAACGUAAGAGGUAGAGCGACCGAUAGGUCAAGAGGGCUUCACCGCCUAUCGAGACCUGACGAACUCCGAAUGCUUACGCUUUGCAGUCGUGCAGUAAGGGGGCGGGUGCUAAGGUCCGUCCCCGAGAGGAGAAGAAUCCAGACCGUCGUUUAAGGUCCCCAAAUUCUGUCUAAGUUAGUCUAACGAAGUCUGGUCCCCAUGACAGCCAGGAUGUUGGCUUGGAAGCAGCCAUUCAUUUAAAGAGUGCGUAACAGCUCACUGGUCGAGGGUCCGGGCAUGGAUAAUAAUCGGGUAUAAGGCAGAUACCGAAGGCGCGGGAUAGUAUUUAAAAAAGUAUCGGUAGGGGAGCAUUCCAUCGACGUUGAAUGAUAUAGGACAACUAUAUCUGGAGUUUAUGGAAAAGCAAAUGUAGGUAUAAGUAACGAUAAGGAGGGUAAGAUUCCCUCCCGCCGUAAGACCAAGGUUUCCCGGGCAAUGUCAAUCACCCCGGGGUUAGUCGGGUCCUAAGUCUCAGCCGAAUGGCGAUGGCGAUGGUAGAAACGGUUAAUAUUCCGUUACUGCUUUAAUGAGUGAUGGGCAGACGAAGAAGUGACACCACCGCGAGGCGACGGAAGUCCUCGUUAAAGAGUGUAGGAGUUGAUGAUUGCAGGUAAAUCCACAAUCAGAUCCGAACUUGAUAGUAUGGUUUUCUCCUCGGAGCGAACCAAUAGUGUGGGUAAUCCUGCUUCCAAGAAAAUGCUCUAAACAUAUUGUUAAAGCACCCGUACCGUAAACGGACACACGUAGUCGGGUAGAAUAUACUAAGGCGUUGAGAGAUUCAUGGUUAAGGAACUAGGCAAAUUGACCCCGUAACUUCGGGAUAAGGGGAACGGCGGCCGUAACUAUAACGGUCCUAAGGUAGCGAAAUUCCUUGUCGGGUAAGUUCCGACCUGCACGAAUGGUGUAAUGAUCUGGACGCUGUCUCAAUCAUGAUCUCAGUGAAAUUGUAGUAUCGGUGAAGAUGCCGAUUACCCGCGAUGGGACGAAAAGACCCCGUGAACCUUUACUGCAGCUUAGCAUUGACCUUGGUCAUCCGAUGUGUAGGAUAGGCCGGAGGCUUUGAAGGGGGCGCGCCAGCGCUCUUGGAGCCACCCUUGAAAUACGGCCCUUUGGCUGUCCGAGGUCUAACCCGCAGAUGUGGGGACACUGCUUGGUGGGCAGUUUGACUGGGGUGGUCGCCUCCAAAAGCGUAACGGAGGCUUCCAAAGGUACCCUCAGGCCGAUUGGUAACCGGCCUCUUAGAGUGCAAUGGCAUAAGGGUGCUUGACUGGGAGGCAGACAUGCCGAGCAGGCAGGAAACUGGGGCAUAGUGAUCCGGUGCAAGUGUAUGGAAACUGCAUCGCUCAAAGGAUAAAAGGUA